UCACCAAUCCCUUCUGCAGGCCUGUCAUGACUGUGUACAUUGUAGGACAUUGUGUGCACAAUAACAAGAUGCUGCACGCAGUCAGGGCGCAGUGCUGCACAGGCUCGGAGAAGACCAGGGAGCGUGACUGCAGGAGAGAUCACCGGACCUGAAGAGAAGCAGCAAAGUAAGAGAGGUAUAUGGCCUUACAUAGAAUGGCUAUUUAUGGUAGA
This is a long non-coding RNA of Bufo bufo (common toad), 212 nucleotides long. RefSeq lists it as uncharacterized. The transcript has 2 exons. The record is from RefSeq and is a predicted model, not a curated record. Lineage: Eukaryota; Metazoa; Chordata; Amphibia; Anura; Bufonidae.